Long non-coding RNA from Onychostoma macrolepis, 376 nucleotides. RefSeq lists it as uncharacterized. The record is from RefSeq and is a predicted model, not a curated record. NCBI's taxonomy places the organism in Eukaryota, Metazoa, Chordata, Actinopteri, Cypriniformes, Cyprinidae. The transcript is spliced from 3 exons.
CUAGGCACGCCUCCUAUCGCUCAAAUUUGAAUUUACACACCAGUCCGUUGCUGCUCUGUUUAUCUGCAGUCCUGCUCCGUUCAGUGCAGUAGUAAUGGCUUUUACAUGGACUAUCACAUAUCUGACAGAUGAAUUCUUAUUUUGACCGAUUUUGAGUUAUGCGGUGCAGAUUGAGAACGAAAAAGCGCAAAUAUGAACACAGACACAAUGGCUAAUGGACACAUAUUGCAAACGGCAGAAGAGAGGACAUGAAACCAUUCUUGGACUCUGAAGAAUACUAUGCAAACCAUGCUUUUGGAUCUACUGUUAAGUUUUUGUAAUAAAGCUGAGGUUUUGGGAUUGAAAUUAUUCUGCCACAUGAUCUUCCGUAAAAGUG